UACAGAGGUCCCGAGCGUUGUUCGGAUUCACUGGGCGUAAAGGGUGCGUAGGUGGCGAGGUAAGUCGGAUGUGAAAGCUCGGAGCUCAACUCCGAAAUGGCAUUGGAAACUACCUUGCUCGAGGGUUGGAGGGGGGACUGGAAUACUUGGUGUAGCAGUGAAAUGCGUAGAUAUCGAGAGGAACAUCAGUGGCGAAAGCGAAUCUCUGGGCAACAUCUGACGCUGAGGCACGAAAGCCAGGGGAGCAAACGGG
Molecule: ribosomal RNA, 253 nt
Filed under: uncultured bacterium
Lineage: Bacteria
Description: partial 16S ribosomal RNA
Rfam family: Bacterial small subunit ribosomal RNA
Source: RNAcentral